GCAUGUGACUAACCUUAGAGAGCUUUCUUUUUUUUUUUAACAAGAAAACAGUUCCUUCAUCCACUGUUCCCUUUGGACAGUAUGAACACUUGACAUGGGUUUACUGUACCUAAUACAACUUUAAUAUUUUAAGAUACUGUUUGCUUUGGCCUUCCUUGUUCUGUCACUGCAAAGUUGAAUAUGUCGGCAUGGAAAGAGAGACUAAGGAGAGUUGUUACAGUGGAGCUGGUGAUUUUCCUCUACAUGACCAGCACUUUCAUCGUAACACCUGCAUAUCAACAGAUGAUUAUCACAAAGGUGUGUCAAGAAUGAUACUAUCUGUAGUAACCCUGAGCACCAAAAAGGGGACGAGAAGGUUCAGACGACAGCCUCCUACAUCCUGCUUUUGUUCAACACCACCCUCAUUCUGGUCUCCAUCCCUCCUGCCUUAAUGCUGGGCUCCUGGUCUGACCGCGCUGGCCGUCGCUGGGUCAUGGCGCUCCCAUCUGUGUUUUCCCUGUUGAGCAGGGGGUUACUCUUGGCUGUAAAUUUGUUGGGAAACUUGUUGGCAGUAGCUGAGUCCAUGAUAUUCGUUGGAGGCACAGUGAGCAAGAAUUCGGACUCCAGGCAGCAUUCGGGGCCUACAUUGGCUGCCACGUCCUGGUGGUGCUUUAUAUUGUGCUUUGGCUGAGAGACACUAUGAUGGGAGAAAAUACAUGUACUGUAUAGCUCUUUAUAAAAGGGAAACGGUUGAGCAAGGUUCUCAAGCAGACAAGUCUCGUCUGUUUAUCCUAAAGUAUGCCAAACUGUCUUUCAAAGCAGUGUUCAAGAGGAGGUCAGGGUAGGACAGACUGAAAUUGCACUUUCUCAUUCUCUGCACAGUGUUUUGGACUUGAGUUUCCUUGUUUUGCCCCUGUCUUAGUUCCUGUUUUCCUUAUUUGGUCAUGUUUCAUGUGCCUGUCUGUUUAUUUGAUUCCACCUGUGUUUCCCUUGUUUCCUCGUUAUGUUGAUUUCAUUCCAGGUGUUCCUCGUCUGUUGUCAUUUAUCUCAGGUGUGUCUUAUCUCCCCCUCGUCUUGUCUGGUGUUUAAAUAGUGUUUCUUGUCUUUAGUCUGGUGCCAGGUAUUGUAUAUGUCUUCAUGUUCUCCUGUGUACCAGAACUGUAUUCUGUGUUAUUUUGCCUUAAUAAAAGUCUGCUGGUUUUGAGCUACUCCCACGUCUCCUUGUUCCAUUGCUCCCUGUGAGAGUGAGACAGAAUACCGGACCAAAAAUCAGCUAUGCUGCUUGCAGCAUGGUGGUCGGCCAUUGGAACGGUAUGUGGAGGAAUUCCUCGAGCUGUCUUACUGGGUGAGUUGGCAUGACGCAGCACUCGGUGCCUGCUUUUAGUUUGGUCUGGAUGAGAACGCAAUCCAUUGUGAAUUCCCGACAUAUGAGUUUCCCUUAAUCUAGUUGAUUAAUCUAGUCCUUUAUUUAAAUGGUUCUAAUUCCGAGGUUGAAGAAAUAAAGGACAAUAUAAAUAGUUCCAGACCCCACUUUAACACAACGAGCUCCUCCAACUCACCCUGUGCCAGGACCCUCCACAUGCCUCCAACUCACCCUGUGCCAGGACCCUCCACAUGCCUGGCCAAUGGCUCUGACCACCCAUCGCCUCCUGUGCUUUCCCGUACUCAGGGAUGGACUUCAUACAGCACUGACCUGGGGGCCAAAGUUUAUGACCUCGUAUUACAGUCAGUCAGGUCAGCGCUAAAAGCCGCUCCCCUUCCACUACCUCCACCCAUCCGAUCCAUCCUGGUCCUCGGCCCUGAUUUGCCUGCGUCUCCGCUGUCAAGCUCGCUGGCUGCCGCUGAUGCCCCACUUACCCCAAACCAAACGAGGAGGAUGAGGAGAAAAAGACUGUACUCAGCCCUCAUCCUCGGCCCAGAGCUCGCUCCAGUGUCAGCUUCAGCCCCACAGUUCAGCCCAGGAAGGGCUGCUGUUCCUGAGUAUAGCCCACGGAGGGCUCCUGAUCCCCCGUUAACCCCCAUAAGUUCCCCCAAUUUUUUUUUUUUUUGUGGGGGGUAGUAGGGCUCCAGCCGUAGAGGCCGGGAUGGGGGCUGGGGCCGCAGCCUCGAAGGCUGCUCUGCCAUGGCCUCCUGAACUGCCUGCUCCGCCAUGGUGCCCCGGGUCUCCAGCUCCGCCAUGGCAUCCCGAACGGGUACCACUGUCCUGUGUCUGUCUUGAGGGACCUCCAGAGCGCCCCCUCCUCUUUGGAUGUUAUGUGGCGUGAGGACACACCUUCCAGAGGGAGGCAUUAUGUCAGUGUUGUGGACUUGUGUUUUCUUGUUUUGCCCCUGUCUUAGUUCCUGUUUUCCUUAUUUGGUCAUGUUUCAUGUGCCUGUCAUUAUGUUUAUUUGAUUCCACCUGUGUUUCCCUUGUUUCGUCGUUAUGUUGAUUUCCUUCCAGGUGUUCCCCGUCUGUUGUCAUUUAUCUCAGGUGUGUCUUGUCUCCCCCUCGUCUUGUCUGGUGUUUAAAUAGUAUUUCUUCUCUUUAGUCUUUAGUCUGGUGCCAGGUAUUGUAUAUGUCUUCAUGUUCUCCUGCGUUCCAGAACUGUAUUCUGUGUUAUUUUGCUUUAAUUAAAGUCUGCUGGUUUCGAGCUACUCCCGUGUCUCCUCGUUCCAUUGCUCUCUGUGAAAGUAUGACAGCACCUUCAGAAAUAACCUGGUGGCUCUUGGUCAGUGCAAACUCAAACAUACACUAACACAAACGCAGACAUAUACACUAUAGGCCAGUGGGAAAAAAAGGUGUAGAAACAAC
Long non-coding RNA from Cyprinus carpio carpio, 2770 nucleotides. The record is from Ensembl. Lineage: Eukaryota; Metazoa; Chordata; Actinopteri; Cypriniformes; Cyprinidae.